RNAcentral lists this ribosomal RNA (234 nucleotides) under uncultured Actinomycetales bacterium. Its description in RNAcentral is "partial 16S ribosomal RNA". It matches the Rfam family "Bacterial small subunit ribosomal RNA", at positions 97 to 334 of the family's 1533-position model. The record is from RNAcentral. Lineage: Bacteria; Bacillati; Actinomycetota; Actinomycetes; Actinomycetales.
GGCGAACGGGUGAGUAACACGUGGGUGAUCUGCCCUGCACUCUGGGAUAAGCCUGGGAAACUGGGUCUAAUACCGGAUAGGACCAUGCUUUAGUGUGUGUGGUGGAAAGUUUUUUCUGUGUAGGAUGAGCCCGCGGCCUAUCAGCUUGUUGGUGGGGUAAUGGCCUACCAAGGCGGCGACGGGUAGCCGGACUGAGAGGUUGGUCGGCCACAUUGGGACUGAGAUACGGCCCAG